AAGUUGUUGCGGUUAAAAAGCUCGUAGUUGGAUCUGUGUGACACGCUGUCGGUUCACUGUUUUGAUGGUGUUUAACUGACAUGUCGUGGCACGUCCUGCCGGUUGGUAACGUGUUCUCCUUUCGGGGUGUUAUGCGUUUACCAGUUCCAAUCCUGUCGCGGUGCUCUUCACCGAGUGUCGAGGCGGGCCGGCACGUUUACCUUGAACAAAUUUGAGUGCUUAAAGCAGGCUUAUAUUGCCGGAAAACUGUGUGCAUGGAAUAAUAUAAUAGGACUUCGGUUCUAUUUUGUUGGUUUUCAGAAUCCGAGGUAAUGAUUAAAAGGGCCUGGCGGGGGCAUUAGUAUUGCGACGUGAGAGGUGAAAUUCUUGGACCGUCGCAAGACUAACUGAAGCGAAAGCGUUUGCCAAGAAUGCUUCCAUUAAUCAAGAACGAAAGUUAGAGGUUCGAAGGCGAUCAGAUACCGCCCUAGUUCUAACCAUAAAUGAUGCCAGCCAGCGAUCCGUCGUCGCUCUUUUAUGACGUGACGGGCAGCUUCAGGGAAACUAAAGCUUUUGGGUUCCGGGGGAAGUAUGGUUGCAAAGCUGAAACUUAAAGGAAUUGACGGAAAGGCACCACCAGGAGUGGAGCCUGCGGCUUAAUUUGACUCAACACGGGAAAUCUCACCAGGCCAGAACACCAGGUGGAUUGACAGAUUGAGAGCUCUUUCUUGAUUUGGUGGGUGGUGGUGCAUGGCCGUUCUUAGUUGGUGGAGCGAUUUGUCUGGUUAAUUCCGAUAACGAACGAGACUCCAGCCUACUAAAUAGACGUAUAUUUUACCAGUAUCUUUGCUACUGGCGGUUUAAUCUCUUCUUAGAGGGACAGGCGGCUCCUAGCCGCACGAGACGGAGCAAUAACAGGUCUGUAAUGCCCUUAGAUGUUCUGGGCCGCACGCGCGCUACACUGAAGGAAUCAACGUGUGAUCUACCCUUGGCCGAAAGGUCCGGGUAACCCGUUGAAACUCCUUCGUGCUAGGGAUUGGGGCUUGCAAUUCUUCCCCAUGAACGAGGAAUUCCUAGUAAAUAUGAGUCAUAAGCUCGUGUUGAUUAAGUCCCUGCCUUUUGUGCACACCGCCCGUCGCUACUACCGAUUGAACGAUUUAGUGAGGUCUUCAGACCUGUGCGCGAGACUUGCUUCGGUGAGUUUCGAUGAUUUCGGGGAAGACGACCAAACUUGA
RNAcentral lists this ribosomal RNA (1214 nucleotides) under Trichadenotecnum circularoides. RNAcentral's name for it is "SSU rRNA". It matches the Rfam family "Eukaryotic small subunit ribosomal RNA", at positions 607 to 1768 of the family's 1831-position model. Lineage: Eukaryota; Metazoa; Arthropoda; Insecta; Psocodea; Psocidae. The record is from RNAcentral.